Oncorhynchus keta (chum salmon) is the source of this 564-nucleotide long non-coding RNA. RefSeq lists it as uncharacterized. Lineage: Eukaryota; Metazoa; Chordata; Actinopteri; Salmoniformes; Salmonidae. The record is from RefSeq and is a predicted model, not a curated record. The transcript is spliced from 2 exons.
GCUGAAUCAAGACUGUCAAAACAACGGGUGGAGUCACAUUGGCGGCAAGCUUUCCAUGAUUGAGGUGGCAACUGAUGGUAGAGUCUUUGGGGUCACCUCUGCAGGCCAUGUUUAUACCAGAGACGGCAUCACAGCCAGUAAACCAGAGGGCACUGGAUGGAGCCAUGUCUCAAUGUGCAUGCGCAUGGGCCACGUGACCUAUGACCUGGGCCGUCUUUGGGCGGUCUCCAAGUCUGGAGUCACCAUGGUGUGCACACCUUAGCCUCUCCUCUGCAUCUGAUGACCGUUGGGGAUCUGUCUAAAGUUCACUUGCUAACUCAUCGAUCUCUCUUUCUGGAACAGCCUUCUGCUUGAGAAUGCCCAACAUUAGUUCAUAAGAAUCCUUCAUUCUAAAACCUAAUACUAACUAUACUUUUCAGUACUUUAUCUCUGUCAAUAGUCAUCACUGAUCUUAAUGAUCUUGCUUCAGAGGUUAUUCAUAAAGAUGGAUGGAAUCCUUUUUAAUGCUUAUUAUCUCAUUAUAUAAUAAUUUCCCGCAAAAAUAAAGCAUUCAGUUUGAAGCUA